This 253-nucleotide ribosomal RNA is filed under the name uncultured bacterium. RNAcentral describes it as "partial 16S ribosomal RNA". It matches the Rfam family "Bacterial small subunit ribosomal RNA", at positions 524 to 776 of the family's 1533-position model. The record is from RNAcentral.
UACGGAGGGUGCAAGCGUUAUCCGGAUUCACUGGGUUUAAAGGGUGCGUAGGUGGGCAGUUAAGUCAGUGGUGAAAUCUCCGGGCUCAACCCGGAAACUGCCAUUGAUACUAUCUGUCUUGAAUAUCGUGGAGGUAAGCUGAAUAUGUCAUGUAGCGGUGAAAUGCUUAGAUAUGACAUAGAACACCAAUUGCGAAGGCAGCUUACUACCCGAAUAUUGACACUGAGGCACGAAAGCGUGGGGAUCAAACAGG